UACGUAGGUGGCAAGCGUUAUCCGGAUUUACUGGGUGUAAAGGGUGAGUAGGCGGCAUGGUAAGCCAGAUGUGAAAGCCUUGGGCUUAACCCGAGGAUUGCAUUUGGAACUAUCAAGCUAGAGUACAGGAGAGGAAAGCGGAAUUCCUAGUGUAGCGGUGAAAUGCGUAGAUAUUAGGAAGAACACCAGUGGCGAAGGCGGCUUUCUGGACUGAAACUGACGCUGAGGCACGAAAGCGUGGGGAGCGAACAGG
This 253-nucleotide ribosomal RNA is filed under the name uncultured bacterium. RNAcentral describes it as "partial 16S ribosomal RNA". It matches the Rfam family "Bacterial small subunit ribosomal RNA", at positions 524 to 776 of the family's 1533-position model. The record is from RNAcentral.